AUACAGAGGGUGCGAGCGUUAAUCGGAAUUACUGGGCGUAAAGCGUACGUAGGCGGUUAUUUAAGUCAGAUGUGAAAGCCCCGGGCUUAACUUGGGAACUGCAUUUGAAACUGGGUAACUAGAGUUUAGUAGAGGGGAGUGGAAUUUCAGGUGUAGCGGUGAAAUGCGUAGAGAUCUGAAGGAACACCAGUGGCGAAGGCGACUCCCUGGACUAAAACUGACGCUGAGGUACGAAAGCGUGGGUAGCAAACAGGAUUAGAAACACUAGUAGUCC
This 274-nucleotide ribosomal RNA is filed under the name uncultured bacterium. Its description in RNAcentral is "partial 16S ribosomal RNA". It matches the Rfam family "Bacterial small subunit ribosomal RNA", at positions 523 to 796 of the family's 1533-position model. The record is from RNAcentral.